RNAcentral lists this long non-coding RNA (250 nucleotides) under Homo sapiens (human). Its description in RNAcentral is "non-protein coding lnc-ARL6IP4-2:1". The stretch from base 1 to 148 matches the Rfam family "Metazoan signal recognition particle RNA". From Rfam's summary of the family: The signal recognition particle (SRP) is a universally conserved ribonucleoprotein. It is involved in the co-translational targeting of proteins to membranes. Lineage: Eukaryota; Metazoa; Chordata; Mammalia; Primates; Hominidae. The record is from RNAcentral.
GCUGGGCGUGGUGGCACACUCCUGUAAUCCCAGCUACUCGGGAGGCUGAGGUAGGAGAAUUGCUUGAACCCAGGAGGCAGAGGUUGCAGUGAGCCAAGAUCGCGCCACUGCAGUCCAGCCUGGGUGACAGAGCAAGAUUCUGUCUUUUUUUUUUUGAUAUGAAAUCUCGCUCUGUCACCAGGCUGGAGUGCAGUGGCAUGAUCUUGGCUCACUGCAAUCUCCGCCUCCUGGGUUCAAGUGGUUCUCCUGC